Molecule: non-coding RNA, 467 nt
Organism: Penaeus vannamei (Pacific white shrimp)
Lineage: Eukaryota; Metazoa; Arthropoda; Malacostraca; Decapoda; Penaeidae
Source: RefSeq, a predicted model, not a curated record
UGUGUGGUUCUCGCGCCGGGGAGAGAGAGAGCGCAAGAGAGAGAGAGAGAGAGGGAGAGCGGGAGAGGAAAGAAAGAGAGAGAGAGAGAGUAAGAACGAGAGAGAGGGACGGAGAGAGAGUUAGAGAGAGAAAGAGAGCAGACGAGCGGCGACCAUGAACUUCUGAAUCGGAUGAAACCGGCCGUGAUUUAAUUUGCAACACUGAAAUUGGCGCUAUCGUCAUAGUGUUAAGGAACUCAACUGAGAGAUUGCACAAGUGCUGCCAUCUGUGGGUCGCACGCUCACUAUGGCUGCCUUAGCCUUCUUGCUUGUCUUUGUGGCUUCCUCGGCAGCGGGGGAAGUGACGCUGGUCCACGAGGGGCUCGGCGCGGGGUCCUCCUGGGGCUACUCCCUCCUGCCGUCGACCUUCCCGCUCUCCUGGGAUGAGGCCAGGUCGGCGUGCGAGGUCGUGCCCGGGUCAAUGCUGG